CUCCCCUGUCAUCAGUGCUCUAAUUAUGACAACCAGGUGCAAACAGCAAGUAAUCUUGUUUGUCACUGCCUGAUCGGGGUUUUCAAACCUCUCGUAUUUAUCAUGUGAGUUGGAAGGGGAGGUGAGUUUUUGUAAGCCUCUGUGCCUGGGGCAAACGCAGGUGGGAGGGAGAGAACAUACAGUCUGUGCGCUGAAAAGAAUCACAUACAUGUGUGCCAGUGCCCUUUUUCCUGGUGGGCUUCAUCCCCUGAAUCAUUCUUCUGUGUGAUGACUGUCAUGAGCUACGCGGCAGUGACAAGGGCCAGCCUUUGAUCCCUGUGAAGUGCAUCUGGAGAGAUCCACGGAGACGGGUGCGUGACUGUCAGCUUUCUGGCCCUCGGGCCCGGUGAAAAACCAUACAUGAAUAAAUCAACAUGCUCUAAAAGAGGACAUGCGCACAACUUCAAAUCGAGCUUCUAAAGUUUGGCACAUUUUUUCGAUCUGCAGUGCAUGUUUGCUCCUUUCUCAUUUAAUGGUGUCGUCAUUUUCUUGUGUCAUUAAUGUAUCCAUGAACUAGUUAAACAUUUUUACAAGCUAGCAUACAUCCUGUCAUAAAACCACUGGCUUACAUGAUAAUAUACACUACAGGUCAGAUUUUUUCUUAAAGAAAUUAAUAAUGAAUUACUCCGCAAGGACAUAUUAAAUUGAUCAAAAGUGGCAUUUAUUAAAUAUUUCAAAUGAAUGCUGUUCUUUUGAACUUUUGAUUAAUCAAAGAAUUCCAAUUUUUUUUGAAUAGACCAACUUAAACACAUUGUUGCACUACUGUACAGUGAAAUGAAAGUGUUCUGUGCCCUAUAUUGUGCUGGUGUUUAUUGUUACAAAUGAUUUUGAUUGGCAUAAAAUGAUGCAACACUACUUCCGUUCACAACUUCCAGCAUCCACACUUCCAACAAUAAUUGAUUAUGAUCAACACCAAUUAACUUCCAACAUGAUUUUUAAAUUGACAUGCUGCCAACAAAUCCUCCUGAUUUCCUGC
Long non-coding RNA from Cyprinus carpio carpio, 1015 nucleotides. The record is from Ensembl. NCBI's taxonomy places the organism in Eukaryota, Metazoa, Chordata, Actinopteri, Cypriniformes, Cyprinidae.